Molecule: transfer RNA, 69 nt
Filed under: Schistometopum thomense
Lineage: Eukaryota; Metazoa; Chordata; Amphibia; Gymnophiona; Dermophiidae
Description: tRNA-Arg
Source: RNAcentral
AAGAGGUUAAUCUAAAAUAAGACUGCCAAUUUCGGCUUGGCAAAUUGCGAUUAACAUCACAACCUCUUU